AGCGUUGUUCGGAAUUACUGGGCGGAAAGCGCACGUAGGCGGCUUUGUAAGUUAGAGGUGAAAGCCCGGGGCUCAACCCCGGAAUUGCCUUUAAGACUGCAUCGCUUGAAUCCAGGAGAGGUGAGUGGAAUUCCGAGUGUAGAGGUGAAAUUCGUAGAUAUUCGGAAGAACACCAGUGGCGAAGGCGGCUCACUGGACUGGUAUUGACGCUGAGGUGCGAAAGCGUGGGGAGCAAACAGG
This 240-nucleotide ribosomal RNA is filed under the name uncultured bacterium. RNAcentral's name for it is "partial 16S ribosomal RNA". It matches the Rfam family "Bacterial small subunit ribosomal RNA", at positions 537 to 776 of the family's 1533-position model. The record is from RNAcentral.